This 450-nucleotide ribosomal RNA is filed under the name uncultured Glomeromycotina. RNAcentral's name for it is "SSU rRNA". It matches the Rfam family "Eukaryotic small subunit ribosomal RNA", at positions 569 to 1024 of the family's 1831-position model. Lineage: Eukaryota; Fungi; Glomeromycota. The record is from RNAcentral.
AGCAGCCGCGGUAAUUCCAGCUCCAAUAGCGUAUAUUAAAGUUGUUGCAGUUAAAAAGCUCGUAGUUGAAUUUCGGGGUUAGUAGGUUGGUCAUGCCUCUGGUAUGUACUGAUCUCACUGAUUCCUCCUUCCUGAUGAACCGUAAUGCCAUUAAUUUGGUGUUGCGGGGAAACUGGACUGUUACUUUGAAAAAAUUAGAGUGUUUAAAGCAGGCUAACGCUUGAAUACAUUAGCAUGGAAUAAUGAAAUAGGACGUUCGAUCCUAUUUUGUUGGUUUCUAGGAUUGACGUAAUGAUUAAUAGGGAUAGUUGGGGGCAUUAGUAUUCAAUUGUCAGAGGUGAAAUUCUUGGAUUUAUUGAAGACUAACUACUGCGAAAGCAUUUGCCAAGGAUGUUUUCAUUAAUCAAGAACGAAAUUAGGGGAUCGAAGACGAUCAGAUACCGUCGUAGU